RNAcentral lists this transfer RNA (73 nucleotides) under Spirochaetota bacterium. Its description in RNAcentral is "tRNA-Gln". It matches the Rfam family "tRNA". Rfam says of the family: Transfer RNA (tRNA) molecules are approximately 80 nucleotides in length. The record is from RNAcentral. Lineage: Bacteria; Pseudomonadati; Spirochaetota.
UGCCCGGUGGUGUAAUUGGCAACACAUCUGACUCUGGAUCAGAGAAGUCCAGGUUCGAGUCCUGGCCGGGCAG